UGACCAGUCUGAUUGGUUGCAGGAGG
This 26-nucleotide non-coding RNA is filed under the name Homo sapiens (human). Lineage: Eukaryota; Metazoa; Chordata; Mammalia; Primates; Hominidae. The record is from RNAcentral.